RNAcentral lists this ribosomal RNA (777 nucleotides) under uncultured Neocallimastigales. Its description in RNAcentral is "partial large subunit ribosomal RNA". It matches the Rfam family "Eukaryotic large subunit ribosomal RNA", at positions 23 to 647 of the family's 3401-position model. Lineage: Eukaryota; Fungi; Neocallimastigomycota; Neocallimastigomycetes; Neocallimastigales. The record is from RNAcentral.
ACACGCAUGACACACUGCAUAUCAAUAAGCGGAGGAAAAGAAACUAACAAGGAUUCCCUUAGUAACGGCGAGUGAAGCGGGAAGAGCUCAAAUUUGAAAUCUUCAAGGUUCUACCUUGACGAAUUGUAGUUUAUAGAAGUGUUUUCUGUUAGUAGGAGUGGCAAAAGUUCUUUGGAAUAGGACAUCAUAGAGGGUGAGAAUCCCGUAUUUGAUCAUUCUUUUCUAGCUGUGUGAUACACUUUCAACGAGUCGGAUUGUUUGGGAAUGCAGUCCAAAAUGGGUGGUAAAUUUCAUCUAAAGCUAAAUAUUGGCGAGAGACCGAUAGCGAACAAGUACCGUGAGGGAAAGAUGAAAAGAACUUUGAAAAGAGAGUUAAACAGUACGUGAAAUUGUCAAAAGGGAAGCGUUUGACACCAGUGUUGUUUUUCCGAAAAUCAAUUACGAAUGUUUUAUUUUUGAGGAGUUAUGACUUCAUCGGCUUGCUCCUUUCUUUAUGAAACUUUCUUAAUGCACUUUUCGGUUAACAAGUCAACAUCAAUUUCUUUUGUUGUAAAAGGGUAUGAGGAAGGUGGCUUUCUUUUCGGAGAAAGUGUUUAUAGCCUUGUGCCUCUGCAAUCGGAGAGAUUGAGGUCUGCAGCGUAGAUCCUUCGGGGUUAGAUACACUUGUGCUAAGGUUAUAGCUUUUCAUAGACAACUUGUUGACUAUGUUAAGUCUUGUAGCUUACUCGCUUACGCUAUUUUACCUACGCUUAGGAUGUUGACGAGACUGUCGAUCUC